RNAcentral lists this ribosomal RNA (465 nucleotides) under Naziritor chelynoides (dark mahseer). Its description in RNAcentral is "Puntius chelynoides (dark mahseer) partial 16S ribosomal RNA". It matches the Rfam family "Bacterial large subunit ribosomal RNA", at positions 1990 to 2606 of the family's 2925-position model. The record is from RNAcentral. Lineage: Eukaryota; Metazoa; Chordata; Actinopteri; Cypriniformes; Cyprinidae.
GUAUGAAUGGCUAAACGAGGGCUUAACUGUCUCCCUUUUCAAGUCAGUGAAAUUGAUCUACCCGUGCAGAAGCGGGUAUAAAAAUACAAGACGAGAAGACCCUUUGGAGCUUAAGGUACAAAGCUCAGCCACGUUAAGCGACUAAAUGAAGAGCAAAAACUUUGUGAAACGUGGGAUUUUACCUUCGGUUGGGGCGACCGCGGAGGAAAAAUAAGCCUCCAAGUGGACCGGGACAAACUCCUAGAACCAAGAGAGACAUCUCUAAGCCACAGAAUAUCUGACCAAACAUGAUCCGGCCACAAAGCCGAUCAACGAACCAAGUUACCCUAGGGAUAACAGCGCAAUCCUCUCCCAGAGUCCAUAUCGACGAGGGGGUUUACGACCUCGAUGUUGGAUCAGGACAUCCUAAUGGUGCAGCCGCUAUUAAGGGUUCGUUUGUUCAACGAUUAAAGUCCUACGUGAUCU